Molecule: long non-coding RNA, 1631 nt
Organism: Fundulus heteroclitus (mummichog)
Lineage: Eukaryota; Metazoa; Chordata; Actinopteri; Cyprinodontiformes; Fundulidae
Exons: 3
Source: RefSeq, a predicted model, not a curated record
CUACCCUCCGGAACCGCUGAGCUGAUUGUCCAGAAAAGAAUGCUGUAUAAGCUGGCGAAGGUGAUGGAUAGCUUCCUCCUCUCCAAAACACAGUGAAGAAUCAACAGAGCAAGGGACUUCUUCAUGUUCUUUAAGAUGAUAGCUCCUAAAGAUCCUUCCUGCCAGCAGCUCACAUUCUUCUACUCUAUUUUCAAUUUUUUUUUUUAUACAUUAAAAUUUCCCUUAAGGUACUAAGAAUUUUUAAUAUUCAUUUGGCUUGAAAUGUUGCAUAUUUGUGGUUAUUUUGUAACAUACAUAAAAUGGGGAUGCCUCUUUAAGAAAACAGACGUUAAGGGAGCUAGGUAGUCUAUCUAGCCAAUAGGAAGUUAAGUUUCCAGUGUCUAUCCACCAAUGAGAAUGCAGACUGCCCCUGUAGGUCCCGCCCUGCUUUCCCAUGUCUGUAGCAAUAUAGGGUGAGCGAGAGAGAUCGGACACGAGGACGAGACUGCUGAGCUGUGCAGCGUCAGAGUCUGUGUUAAGACUAUUAUAGUAUUACACACGAAUGAAAAGACGAAGCUUUUUGCAAUUGAAAUUGCUGUUUAUUAUCCAAGUUCUAAUCUGGAAUUAGUUGAGCUGAAGUGUCCCACCUGUCUGGACUCGGAGCCAUCAUAUUGUUGUCCCAAACUGAUGCAUUGAGAUCGGUCAGGUUUUUUUUUUUGUUACGCUGGAUCGUUCCUGAGGUGGAUUCCUCAAGAGACUGAUGGCGAGCCUUCCCACCUGGACUUAGAAAAGGAACUGGCUUCCUCCUUUUGCAUUUGGAGUUCUGCUGCACCCUGCGGUGUGGUAGGCCUGUGUCACUCAAAUCUUCACGCAGAGUUUGUUAUGCACGAGACUACUUACUGACUUUUUCCAUUUUUUUCGUUUCAUUCUGGGACUUUGGACAUAAAUUUUAUUUUGGACGUAGUAACAAACUACUGUGUAGGACACUCUCCUCACGUGACUGAUGUUGAGUCCAAUCUGAAUGUGAACUGAAUUUGAAUAAUCUGUGAUCUAUUAAAUUUCAGAAUUUAGAUUAACAGGGUGCACCCAAAAUAGAUAAAACCAGAGAAGUAGCACUUGGCCAAGUGUUUAUAUUAUUUUAUGUAUUUUAUUGUGUUGAAUUUAUUUUCAUAAUUGUUUGUCUUGUACAACUGUUUGUUAAUUUGAUGGUUUAUCUCACUAAAGUAGUCCUUCGUUAAAACCAUCCAACUGCCUCCGUUGUCAUUUAAACACCCUCACUGUGCUCCGAUAGCCGAACCUAUUGGCCCAUUUAUCUAAAAUACAUAGGACUCUUCUCUACUGUGUUACAAUUUCACAUAUUUAUAUGAGACCAAGUGGUUAAUAUUUUAUUGAAGUGUUACACUAUUUACUUAAACAACUGCUUAUACCAAAUCCCCACAAGGUGACGUUAUACUGCUGACAGGGAUGUUGCUGCUUCAAAAAACUAAUUUUAAUCAUUCAGCUGAUUAAAAAUAAGUUCAUCUGUAAGUUGCACGUGUGUACCUUCACUAUUGAGAAGAUACAGGCUGGGCUGAAUGAGAAAAGACAUUCUCUGAUCUUAACAGUCUUGAUUUGACGGAGAAGGGGGGUGGGGUGGCAGCUUGUCAUAUUAA